Molecule: unclassified non-coding RNA, 954 nt
Filed under: Hevea brasiliensis (rubber tree)
Lineage: Eukaryota; Viridiplantae; Streptophyta; Magnoliopsida; Malpighiales; Euphorbiaceae
Source: RNAcentral
GUCCAUCUCCAACCCCAACUAAUAUAAUUGACAGAGGGUACUCACUGCAAAUUGACAAACACAUCGAAAAUUGUUUUAGCAGAGAAAAUAUUGCUUUUUGAAACAAGCAUAAAACAUUUUACCUUGCUUUAACAAUUGCUUCAACAGUUCUCUUUUCCUGUGGGCUUAGUUGGCCAUACUGAGUAUCAACACUUCUAGUCACCUAUGACAACCCACGAUUGCUUAAACUAUGACAGUAAUUUUCCAUUGUUGUACCAAUAUUUUGCAAUAAAUAAUGGAGUUUAGAACAAAUUAUCAGUAGUCUUUGUAGUAGUUCCAGCUAUCCAAGCAAGUAAUUAUGAGAGAUCUCAAUUUUCUUUCUAAUUUUGCUUGAAAUACCAAUAUUUCUUCAAUCAUGAAAACUCUGUUGAGUUACUAAUAUGUUCAUAGGAUUUUUUGUCAGACCAGCAGCAGCACUAUCUGCGCAAGUCAACAAAUAAUCAGACAUCCAGAACUCAACUGGCCAAGAAACUCUGGAUUGUUAUUUCAACCACAUUUUCAUUUAUUUAAUUUACUUCAGUAUGUUUGAUCAGUAGCAAGAUUACUGCAUCACAACAUAAUUUCAAACACAACUUGCGUUAAAAAUUGCAUUUUGCAGGAAAAUUCAAGUUCAGCAAAGUGAUGUAUUUAGGCAAAAUUCUGAAUUCAGUGUUUCUAUCUAGCUUUAAUAGCCACUAGAACUAAACUGAUUGCUUUUCUACAAUUUGAAAAUGCAAUGAAAUUGAAACAAAAAACUUCAAAAGAUUUUAAAAUUGUCUAAAGUUAUCAUGCUUUCAUCAUUCAAAAACCGUCCAACUAUUUGGACCGCUAGAAGGCAAAAUCACAUUAGUUGAUUGUAUAUAGAGCAGAAAAAUUACCUGCCCAUCAGCUAUUAUCACCAAAACAUGGUAUUGUCCACCACUUUGCUCAACAAUA